Molecule: ribosomal RNA, 497 nt
Filed under: uncultured bacterium
Lineage: Bacteria
Description: partial 16S ribosomal RNA
Rfam family: Bacterial small subunit ribosomal RNA
Source: RNAcentral
GAUGAACGCUGGCGGCGUGCCUAAUACAUGCAAGUCGAGCGAACAGACGAGGAUCUUGCUCCUCUGACGUUAGCGGCGGACGGGUGAGUAACACGUGGAUAACCUACCUAUAAGACUGGGAUAACUUCGGGAAACCGGAGCUAAUACAGGAUAAUAUAUUGAACCGCAUGGUUCAAUAGUGAAAGACGGUUUUGCUGUCACUUAUAGAUGGAUCCGCGCCGCAUUAGCUAGUUGGUACGGUAACGGCUUACCAAGGCUACGAUGCGUAGCCGACCUGAGAGGGUGAUCGGCCACACUGGAACUGAGACACGGUCCAGACUCCUACGGGAGGCAGCAGUAGGGAAUCUUCCGCAAUGGGCGAAAGCCUGACGGAGCAACGCCGCGUGAGUGAUGAAGGUCUUCGGAUCGUAAAACUCUGUUAUUAGGGAAGAACAAAUGUGUAAGUAACUAUGCACGUCUUGACGGUACCUAAUCAGAAAGCCACGGCUAACUACGUG